UUACAUUACAAAUAAAAUUUUUUCCAUUACAUCACAAAAUAUAUAUAAAAAAUCUAUCUAAAUUCUCCAAAGUUGUCCAAAAUAUCUGAAAUGAGCAGUAUAUAUCCAAAAUAGCUGCACAUCAAAAGAUCUCAAGAAGACCAAUACAUGUUUAAAACCUGCAAAUGAAAUCUGUUAAAAAAAAAAAACAAAAAUCUGCAAAUGAAAUCUGUUAAAAAAAAAAAACAAAAACCUGCAAAUGAAAUCUGUAAAA
This 253-nucleotide long non-coding RNA is filed under the name Manihot esculenta (cassava). RNAcentral describes it as "long non-coding RNA (MESC_LNC006646)". Lineage: Eukaryota; Viridiplantae; Streptophyta; Magnoliopsida; Malpighiales; Euphorbiaceae. The record is from RNAcentral.